This is a long non-coding RNA of Tribolium castaneum (red flour beetle), 466 nucleotides long. RefSeq lists it as uncharacterized. Lineage: Eukaryota; Metazoa; Arthropoda; Insecta; Coleoptera; Tenebrionidae. The record is from RefSeq and is a predicted model, not a curated record. The transcript is spliced from 2 exons.
CAAUUACAUUAAAUCUUAUCUGAGACAAACGGUUCGCUGAUAAAUACCACCGUUGUAUAAUUUUUUAACACUUUCGUCAGUCCAGUCGUAGCCUUCGCAUAGAACUUUGUGGGUUGACUGCUGAUCUCGUCGAACUAUUUCUCCUCUGAUUUAUAUUUGUUUGUGAUUUUUUUGGAUUUCAUCCAAUUUUUUUGGUGAAAAGGUAAAAAAUAACACACUUUAAUAAAAACAAAUUUAUUGACUUGCUACGCACAAAACCACGGAACAAAAUAUACAAAUUAUAAAAACAUAAUUGUUACAACAGGUAAGUAAUAUAAGAUACGUAACAAAGGUAAGUAACAAACAAUAAAUUAAAAAGUGUACAAAAGAGACCAUAAUACAUACAAUUGGUAAGUAAAUUAAUUCGAGGAACCAAAAUACUGAUAACUUGUUAGUAAAUUGCGCUAAUAAAUAACUUUACAAGAUA